AUUGAACGCUGGCGGCAUGCCUUACACAUGCAAGUCGAACGGUAACGGGCCUUCGGGUGCCGCCGAGUGGCGAACGGGUGCGUAAUACAUCGGAACGUGCCCGAUCGUGGGGGAUAACGAGGCGAAAGCUUUGCUAAUUCCGCAUACGAUCUACGGAUGAAAGCAGGGGACCGCAAGGCCUUGCGCGGACGGAGCGGCCGAUGGCAGAUUAGGUAGUUGGUGGGAUAAAAGCUUACCAAGCCGACGAUCUGUAGCUGGUCUGAGAGGAUGAUCAGCCACACUGGGACUGAGACACGGCCCAGACUCCUACGGGAGGCAGCAGUGGGGAAUUUUGGACAAAGGGCACAAGCCUGAUCCAGCCAUGCCGCGUGCAGGAUGAAGGCCUUCGGGUUGUAAACUGCUUUUGUACGGAACGAAAAGCCUUCUUUUAAUACAGGAGGGUCAUGACGGUACCGUAAGAAUAAGCACCGGCUAACUACGUG
This 482-nucleotide ribosomal RNA is filed under the name uncultured bacterium. RNAcentral's name for it is "partial 16S ribosomal RNA". It matches the Rfam family "Bacterial small subunit ribosomal RNA", at positions 30 to 507 of the family's 1533-position model. The record is from RNAcentral.